This is a long non-coding RNA of Thamnophis elegans (Western terrestrial garter snake), 1864 nucleotides long. RefSeq lists it as uncharacterized. The transcript is spliced from 2 exons. NCBI's taxonomy places the organism in Eukaryota, Metazoa, Chordata, Lepidosauria, Squamata, Natricidae. The record is from RefSeq and is a predicted model, not a curated record.
UUCGUCUUCCUGAUCACCAUCUCUACAGAACAGUUUAGGUCUCAAUGGACCGUCCAGCGGCAAAAGUGUCAAUGGCAGUCUCAGAGUAUCAAGACAGCACAUUGUGACAUCACAACAUUGGCUCCUCCUUCAUCUUCUUGAAAUAGACAGGACUUUGUGAACUUUGGAAAAAGUUUUGUUUCCUUAAUGGACUUUUUUUCCCCAGCAAAAUUUAUUAAAACAAACACAUCUGUCCUUGUUUACGAAAUCAUGUCUGCUGAACAUUUUGUGCAAGAUACCACUGGCCAAUAUUGUUGUUAAGCCUGAAGUUUUCAAUGUCCUUAUGACUAUUUAAUUGACAUUAAAAAGGAUCAAUACUGGCAAAGGGGACAUGGUGACAAGAGGGAAGACAGGCUUUCUUUUUCUUCAGAUGCAGAUGGACCCCAAGCGUAACUAUAAAUAUGUGCAGAGAAUAUUGCUUUCCAUUCUACAGAGUUGGACACAUGGGACAGACAAUGUAAUAAUACAGAAACCCAUGUUGUUUGUGGAGGGGGGGCGGAACCAAGAUGACCUUCAUAAAAAUGAAGUCCUUUUUUUCUGCUCGGGAAUGCUGAAAGAUUUGUAUUUACAAAGAUGCUAGGGAUUUAACUUAACAUCUGGAGUCAUCUGAAUAACGAAUUUUAAAAGUCAAGGAAGAUAGUUUCAGUGUGUCAUCUCAGGUUAUAAAGGCAUAUGCAUAUAUAUAGCUACCGUUUUAUUUGUUAAAUGCCAAAAUAUGACAUUUAUGACUAUGUGGCAGCCUUACACAAACCUCUCAAAUGACUUACACUUCCCAGAGGGUUGCCAGUGUGUUAAUAGUAUUGUUGCAUGUGCAAAAAAUUCUUCUUUGUGAUUGUCAUACAGAUGGGCGGGAGGAGGAAAUAGAAAGCAGAAACCUAUGUACUGUACCCUACAAUAAAUGCAGUUAAUGUUUAAGCCACAUGGGGCUGAGCUGAUGGAAUUAAUUUUAAUUUUCUGUCUAUCAACAGUUUACAAGAAGAAAAUGGAAGGAGUUCUGAUGAAUAGAUUUGCCAAGCUAUGAGAGGAAAGAAAAGUAUAUCAUUGUCACUUAGUGAAGAAGAAAAUAAGAAGAAAUUUCCAAGCAACUGACUACUAUUGCUUGACAAAUCAUAUCCCUGAACCCGAAGAACAACUUUGAAGGAAAGGGUCUGGACCAUGUGUUAGAAAUAUGCAGCUACAGAUUUAUUGCACUAGACAUUUUAAAUGAUGAUUUAAGCUAUAUUGACAUCUGUGUUUGAUAAGAGAUGUAGAGUAAUGUUAAUACGUAAAAUGAGGCAAGUAAUAUUCUCACUCAAUGAAACAUAUUCCUAUUUUUGAAUGCUUUGCUCAAGAUAUAUUUGCAGCCAUAUAAACAAUACAUUUGAUGUUAAAAAAAAUAACCAUAUCCACUAGUAUUUAAUCAGUGAGUAAAACAUACAGACCUAACAUGCCUUUCCUCAUGCAAAUAUAUCACACCAUUUACCCAUUACAUCUUUAAAAACAAAGCAAAUGUGAUCUCUAUCGACAAUUUUAAGAUGUAUUUUACAAUUUAGAGAAUGUAUCAUUCUUUUAACACAUUUUUAGGAGCACUCAAUUGAAUUUUCCCUUUUCUCAAAAAACUUAUUGAAAGAAUCUAUUGCCACUAACAUGAUCUAUAAUUACAUAUCAUAAGGCACAAUCUGUCUUUAUCUCUGCAAAUGUUAAUGGUGGUGACAACAUAUGAAUGUUAAACAGCAUAACACAAUUGUAUAAAAAAAUGCUUAAAACUGAAAGUUUAAAAGAUUGUAAUGAAAAAUCCUUACUUAUAUUGAAAACUAUAAAAUCUAAUAAAAAAAGUUUAUUUGCC